Molecule: non-coding RNA, 1195 nt
Organism: Nicotiana tabacum (common tobacco)
Lineage: Eukaryota; Viridiplantae; Streptophyta; Magnoliopsida; Solanales; Solanaceae
Source: RefSeq, a predicted model, not a curated record
ACAAGCCCAAAGCAAAUUACACUCUAAAUUUUCAAUGUCAUAAAUUGUACGACUAAAUCCCUAAUGUCAUUAGUUGUGAGUUCAUUUCAUGAAAGCAACCAGCCUUCAAAUUCAAGGUUUGUUCAAGUCGUCAUCGACAAUCUCUGUUUAGGUUAAGUUCAAGCUUUGUUCCAGUCGUCAUUGUCAGCCUCCAUUUAAGACAAGUUUAUCAUCUUGAUUUCAGGUGAUCGAGUUCUUGAUUCUUAUCGGAGUUCUUUAUCACCAAAAACAGUAGAAGCUCUUAUUUGUACUCAACAAUAGAUACGAUCAUCUUCCAAGGAAUACUAGUUUGAAGACAUGUUGGAAGAAGUCUAGAAAAUUGAUCAAGUUGAAGAAGGUAUUACAAAAGUUUAUUCCAAGAAAAAGAAUAUAACUGCAAUGAAUCUCCCAAAGAUUGGAAUUUGGGUCAUUAUGCCUUUACUAACAUUCUGGAAUAUGCUCCUCGGGAUUAAAAUGUCCAACUUCUUAGAGUUUAAUAUAUUCUCUUUUUGUUUAUUUUCUAUGACUCUUGGCCGUAGUGUCUACUCUUAAAAUAUUGGUGAUAAUUCAUAUGUAGAAUGCAAUAUAAUUUGCAAUUUAUCUUUUUGGCAGUCUAUGACUCUUCGUUGUAACUAUUUACAAAUGUUUCAGGAGCAAUUUCGGGCUACAAUGAGGUUAAGGAGUAUUUUGAGAUAAUAUGGAGCGUUGAAGGCCAAGUAAAGGCUUAUGGAGUAAAUUGGGAGUUUGUUCGAGGAUCGAAGGAGGUUAGCGCAUUUAAAAAAAGAAGAACAAAGAAGAGUGCAAAAAAUCUCCUAGGUGCGCGGCCGCGCACCGACCGUGCACUGGGCCGCGCAAGUCAGCAGAAACUGACCAAAGUGCACGGCCAGAUGCGCGGUCACCUGCCCAGGUGCGCGGCCGCGCACGUCCCUCCAAGAAAAAUUAUUCCAGGGCUAAAAUUGUAAUUUCAGAGGCGAUUGUCCUUGACCUAUAUGAAGCCCAACUCUCCCAAAAAGAGGGUAUCUUGGUAUUUUUGAAGAACUUUGAAGGCAAGAACAGGCAAGGAGCAAGACGGAAGAUUCAGAAACACGUUUUUAUCUUUCUUUCUCCCUUUUUUUUAUCAUUGAUGAUGAAUUCUUAUGUUGUGAUUGUUAAAAUAAUUAUGAGUAGUUAAACUCUU